GAUAUCUUCAUCUUGCAGAAGUAUAGAGCACGGAAGUGAGAUGUUGAACAUCAAUCACGUGCAUAGAAAGAUGCAGAGCUUGGAGUUGAACCCAAGUAUCUGAUGGGGAGUCUCAAGACAGAAGAAGAUCUUGACGUGAGUCCAGGGGCCUGAAGGCUGAUGGGCAUUUCCUGCACACCUGGGGAUUCCAAGGGCAAUGAUCUGCAUAGCCCUCCUGGGGUCCACGCAGCGGCUCACCUGGAUGGAUUGCCCCUCCUGUGCGGCUCUGGGCACUUCUGCUCUGCUGGACCAUGAAAUACCAAACUGAACUUGACCUUGAACAGGCUUUCGGUUUUCAACUGGAUAUGAAAACCACUUAAGAAUCAUAUGUGAGUCAAUUUGAUGGAAAGAGAAGAAACAUUUAAAAUUUCUAAGUCCUCUCUGAAUUGCUAGACGCUCAUUCAGCAAUUCAGGGAUGCAGCCCUGGAUAUACAAUGACUUGAGUAAUUGGUAUUGCUAUAGAGGGAACCUAACUUCUUUGUGUCAAUACUAUGCAAUCCUCCCUCAAGUGCUGGCCUGCAUCGCCAC
This is a long non-coding RNA of Lutra lutra (Eurasian river otter), 567 nucleotides long. RefSeq lists it as uncharacterized. Lineage: Eukaryota; Metazoa; Chordata; Mammalia; Carnivora; Mustelidae. The transcript has 3 exons. The record is from RefSeq and is a predicted model, not a curated record.